Long non-coding RNA from Ornithorhynchus anatinus (platypus), 1128 nucleotides. RefSeq lists it as uncharacterized. The record is from RefSeq and is a predicted model, not a curated record. The transcript has 3 exons. NCBI's taxonomy places the organism in Eukaryota, Metazoa, Chordata, Mammalia, Monotremata, Ornithorhynchidae.
AACUUGGGGUCCAGAGGAAAGUCACCCCUGUGGCCAACUCCUUCUUUGUUGUACAGAUGAAGCUGAGUCAGUGUGGCAACAGGUGUCCCUGUGGCAACGAGGCAAACAGGAGAUUUCAGCUCUUCCAAGAUGAUUUUGGAAAGCUGGAUCCCAAAGCAGGAGUGAUCAAAGCCCUCGGAGAGUUGAAUACCCUCUUUGACUGGAUGAAUCAAGUAUACCAGCAGUAAGAACUGAGUCCAGAGGAUGACUGACGUUCUGUUUUACUUCAAGCAAGCCACGCACAUGGUGAAGUGGAUACUUGGAAAAUACCUAGUUCAUUUGUUCAGUGUAGACCUCCCUCUUCAAGAUUAUUCAGCCCCCCUCCACCAACAAAAAUCAACUUGGGGGCCUGAUUUAUCCAGGCAAUGGUCUAAUAUCCAAUUGAUCUUUUUGUGGGAAUCACCACAAUGGCCAGACACUCUUAUCCUCUGACUGAAAUGGGCAAAGAAAGAUCUUGUGAAAAGGCAGGUUUGUUCAUUAGCAAAUUAGAUAUUUAGAGAACGUGCCUUGGGAGACUUUGCACAGCCUCUACAUGAUGCAGCAGCUCCCUCGGUGGGGCUGGGAAAUGAAGCUGUAAAUUUCAGUGGUCAACCUUUGUUCUUUAAGUGCUUAGUACAAUGUUCUGCACACAAUAAAUGCUCAAUGAAUGCCACUGAUGAUGAUGGUGACAGCGGAAGAAAGUGAUAAACUGUAGCAACCAGAAAAGCCACUGUUGUCUCUGAAAUCAGGCCUGAAAGCUCAUUUCCAGCACCAGUCAAAUCAGGCACCCACAGUUUACAAUUUAUGGAUUUUUAACAAAGUGAGUUGUGUAUAUUGAAUAUAUUUAUUCCAAACCUAUUUAAUAACUGUUUUGUGUGUAAUUUAUACUUUAUUUAUACAGAGAGCAAGGGGUACAUGGGGAGAGGGAGAGGUACAGGGAAGGAGGUGAGGAAUGUUAAAAAUCCUUUUCUUUGGAUAAAUUACUGCUCAGCAGAAAUAUCACUAAAAAUUGGCAAGGGCUAUUCAGAGGCAAACUUAACCUGGGUAACAGUUUUUUGGUACUAAAAGUAAAUUGUUUUGAUGUCCUUUCCUAAUAAAGACUAAUGAUUA